GACGAACGCUGGCGGCGUGCUUAACACAUGCAAGUCGAACGGAAAGGCCCUGCUUGCAGGGUACUCGAGUGGCGAACGGGUGAGUAACACGUGGGUGAUCUGCCCUGCACUUCGGGAUAAGCCUGGGAAACUGGGUCUAAUACCGGAUAGGAGCCAUUUUUAGUGUGAUGGUUGGAAAGUUUUUUCGGUGUAGGGUGAGCUCGCGGCCUAUCAGCUUGUUGGUGGGGUAAUGGCCUACCAAGGCGGCGACGGGUAGCCGGCCUGAGAGGGUGGACGGCCACAGUGGGACUGAGAUACGGCCCAGACUCCUACGGGAGGCAGCAGUGGGGAAUAUUGCACAAUGGGCGCAAGCCUGAUGCAGCGACGCCGCGUGGGGGAGGACGGCCUUCGGGUUGUAAACUCCUUUCGCUAGGGACGAAGCUUUUUGUGACGGUACCUAGAUAAGAAGCACCGGCUAACUACGUG
RNAcentral lists this ribosomal RNA (465 nucleotides) under uncultured bacterium. RNAcentral's name for it is "partial 16S ribosomal RNA". It matches the Rfam family "Bacterial small subunit ribosomal RNA", at positions 28 to 507 of the family's 1533-position model. The record is from RNAcentral.